Molecule: ribosomal RNA, 440 nt
Filed under: uncultured bacterium
Lineage: Bacteria
Description: partial 16S ribosomal RNA
Rfam family: Bacterial small subunit ribosomal RNA
Source: RNAcentral
CUACGGGUGGCUCCAGUGGGGAAUAUUGCACAAUGGGCGAAAGCCUGAUGCAGCAACGCCGCGUGAACGAUGAAGGCCUUCGGGUCGUAAAGUUCUGUUCUAAGGGAAGAAUAAAUGACGGUACCUUAGAAGAAAGCCCCGGCUAACUACGUGCCAGCAGCCGCGGUAAUACGUAGGGGGCAAGCGUUAUCCGGAAUCAUUGGGCGUGAAGGGUGCGUAGGCGGUUAUGCAAGUUAGAGGUGAAAGGCUACGGCUAAACCGUAGUAAGCCUUUAAAACUGCAUAACUUGAGUGCAGGAGAGGAGAGUGGAAUUCCUAGUGUAGCGGUGAUAUGCGUAGAUAUUAGGAGGAACACCAGUGGCGAAGGCGACUCUCUGGACUGUAACUGACGCUGAGGCACGAAAGCGUGGGGAGCGAACAGGAUUAGAUACCCGGGUAGUC